ACCUGGUAACGUUGACGCGUCUAGUUUGCGCAAUGGCAUGCGAUAACGAUUGUAGGUAUCAUUAUAAACAGUUCCGAUUUUCGUGUUUACGCAAAAGCUAGAUGGAAACAAAGAUAAAUUUGGCUCGUGUUAAUUUUGAAAUGUCCCAGGAAUAAUUGCAAAUAUGCACUAUUAUGCAUCUAAUGCAACAAAUAUGAUAAUAACUACAACCUACAACUUCAAAUCACCAGAGAGAAAUUGAAAAUGGCCGAUAAACUGUCCGAAGAAAAAUUGUGAAUUACGUUAAAGUAUUUAAUUAAUUACCAUUAAUCUACCAUUCAUUAUUAUGUUGUUAUAUUAUAUUACUUGCGUGAUUUAUCAGUAUUACCAAUUAACUUUAACGUAAUUUCCAUAACCAAUUUUAUAAUUAUAAGAAGUCAUUUCAUUUGAUUGCAGUUAUUUCAUGGUUAAUCUUGGGCAUUAUUAACAUGGGACAUUUUUGUGCUCUGCUCUCACCAUUGUCAUGAAUUGUCUACUUGGAAGAAAAUGUUGCAUGGUCAUUCCAUUAAAGGAUUCACGUAGGAAUAGAUUUUUGUCUUGCCUAUGUUAAAUAAGUUGUCCUGUGGCAGUAACCUAGGGAGACAUUUCAUAUUCUUUCUAAAUCUUAAUGGAACUUGUUGUCAAGAGGCUUUACAAUAAUACCGAAGGGCAUAAAAAUGGUCUGUGCCAAGAUGUUAUAUUAUUAAUGGUGUGAAAAGUUGUCCUUUACCUAUAAUACCUUCCACACUAGUGGGAAACCUGUGAGACUUACUUUGGUAUCAAGAAGUUUUGCAAAUGACUUCCUCUCCUGGAAAGUGAAGUGGUUUGCUGAAGAAUGAGCUUGUGGCAUGUAAUUGGCUUCUGUUUGGACACGUUAGGAGUUAUAAGACUAAGAGAUUGCCCAACAAAUGAAAAGGAAUUGCAGUUAACUUUGAUGCUACUGAAACAAGCGUUGCAUCUCUGCUAUGGUGUUUUAUCUGUUAGCUUUACAUCUUGGAAACUGUUAUAGUUAAUUAAUUAAGGUGAGCAUAC
Long non-coding RNA from Agrilus planipennis (emerald ash borer), 1050 nucleotides. RefSeq lists it as uncharacterized. The record is from RefSeq and is a predicted model, not a curated record. NCBI's taxonomy places the organism in Eukaryota, Metazoa, Arthropoda, Insecta, Coleoptera, Buprestidae. The transcript has 6 exons.